CACUCUAGAGAGACUGCCAGGGAUAACCUGGAGGAAGGUGGGGAUGACGUCAAAUCAUCAUGCCCCUUAUGCUUAGGGCUACACACGUGCUACAAUGGGUAGUACAGAGGGUUGCCAAGCCGUAAGGUGGAGCUAAUCCCUUAAAGCUACUCUCAGUUCGGAUUGUAGGCUGAAACUCGCCUACAUGAAGCUGGAGUUACUAGUAAUCGCAGAUCAGAAUGCUGCGGUGAAUGCGUUCCCGGGUCUUGUACACACCGCCCGUCACACCACGGGCGUUGGAGACGCCCGAAGCCGAUUAUCUAACCUUUUGGAAGAAGUCGUCGACGGUGGAAUCAAUAACUGGGGUGAAGUCGUAACAAGGUAGCCGUAUCGGAAGGUUCGGCUGGAUCACCUCCUUUCUAAGGAGA
Molecule: ribosomal RNA, 407 nt
Filed under: Clostridioides difficile
Lineage: Bacteria; Bacillati; Bacillota; Clostridia; Peptostreptococcales; Peptostreptococcaceae
Description: bacterial SSU rRNA
Rfam family: Bacterial small subunit ribosomal RNA
Source: RNAcentral